UGAACGCUGGCGGCGUGCUUAACACAUGCAAGUCGAACGAUGAAGCUGGAGCUUGCUCUGGUGGAUUAGUGGCGAACGGGUGAGUAACACGUGAGCAACCUGCCCCUGACUCUGGGAUAACAGCCGGAAACGGCUGCUAAUACCGGAUAUGCACCAUGAACGCAUGUUCUGUGGUGGGAAAGAUUUUUCGGUUGGGGAUGGGCUCGCGGCCUAUCAGCUUGUUGGUGAGGUAAUGGCUCACCAAGGCGUCGACGGGUAGCCGGCCUGAGAGGGUGACCGGCCACACUGGGACUGAGACACGGCCCAGACUCCUACGGGAGGCAGCAGUGGGGAAUAUUGCACAAUGGGCGAAAGCCUGAUGCAGCAACGCCGCGUGAGGGAUGACGGCCUUCGGGUUGUAAACCUCUUUUAGCAGGGAAGAAGCGAGAGUGACGGUACCUGCAGAAAAAGCGCCGGCUAACUAC
RNAcentral lists this ribosomal RNA (464 nucleotides) under uncultured bacterium. Its description in RNAcentral is "bacterial SSU rRNA". It matches the Rfam family "Bacterial small subunit ribosomal RNA", at positions 30 to 504 of the family's 1533-position model. The record is from RNAcentral.